GCCCCCGCGUAGCUUCGCCCUAGGGCGCCGCCCCUCCCGCCUGGGUGCGUCGUCGCGCUCACGCCCCACGCCGGGUAGCUUUAACCUCCGGCGCCGGCUCGGUAUAUCGCCGCCCAUCCCCCACCCUCACCCCAGACGCCGGCUCGGCAGAUCACCGCCCCUCCCACUGGGCAAGCCGUUGUGUGCACGCCCCACCCGCGUAGCUUCACCCCCGGCACCGGCUCAGCAGCUCACCGGCCCCACCCGCAUAGCUUCACCCCCUGCACGUGGCUCAGCAGGUCACUGCAGUGCCCCUGAGACCCGGUGCCGUCCUGUUGGAUCGAAGCUUCUAGAUGACGCCAGAUGGACAGCAGAAGCCCAAUCCCCUCCAUCGCUUCAUCCCGUUGAGUUGCAUAUGCCACCAGAAGCCCCAUCCCCUCCCUCGCUCAAGUGGCAUCGCGACUCUGCGGUAAGGGCGGCAGCUCAUCCACAGCGAUGACGGUGACGUCGGGGACGCGGGAGGUGGCAUCAGGGACGUGCUGUCCGAAAAGGUGCAGGGCGUCAUUGAGCGUAUGAUCGAAGUCAUGCGUAGGGUAGGGACCCAGGCGUCAACCUCUCCGCCCGCAGAUUGACGUCCCGCUCCGGGUAUGUCUGAUUCUUCGAUUCGCCUUGGGAGUUCUGUUACUGGCAUUCAAUCAUCGAUGACACCCAAUUAAUCAUGGAAUUGCAUAUUAUUGUUCUCGAGGAUACAUAGGAGUACAUCUAUGCACCGCCGCCCAUUAAGCAUUUGGUCACGCCCUGUGCUUUUCCUUGGAGAUAGAUCAUUAUCAAUCCCAAUAACAAUUAAAAGAACUGUGGUGUUCUUUGAUGGAUGUCUCAUGUACACAGUAGAACAAUUGAUGCCAGUGUUGAGAUGUUGAAGUUUCAGGCCUAGACUGAAAUGGGAGCGCCAUUAAGGAUCUAAUGUACCACAUGAUGAUUCAAUGGAUUUGCGCAAUGUAAUUUGGCUAUCUCCUUUGCCAUCAAAUGGAUCUUUGGACUUCUGUGUCGUGAGCUAUUAUCCAAAGCAUUAACUUCAAACAUUAACUUCCACAGUACAAUCUAUAUCAAGAUGCAUGAUCAAUUGUGUACUUCUAUACUGAUCUUUGGAUCACCAUAGUUAGUUCUACGAGUACUCAUAUACUUUUCUUUUCUUCACAUGUCAAGAAUUUACAAGGACCUGCGUCAAUCCAUUUCCAAACUUCUAAGUGUACUGUCCGCAUCUUUCACAAGUAAGUUCAUAGACAAUAUUUUACUUUUGCACAAAAAAACAUGAAUGUGUGCUAUUGUUUGAUAAGCUUUCAAUGUUGCUAAUCCAAUUAUCGUUUCCGCAAGCCGUUUAAGUGCUGCUUUGGAAGUAAUUUUAGCAUCGGAAUUAUAAUUUUGCACAAAAAAAGGUUGCAUGCUAAUGAUACAUCAUCUGUCAAUUUUGCUACUCUAGCUGCUGUCAUUACAAACCAUGUUGUCAUUACAAACCGUUUAGGUGUUGUUUGGAGACAGAUUUGUACUUUUGAAGUAGAACAAUUGCUUGCAGCUAAAACAUUAUCUGCAGACGCAAAAAUUAAUAAGCUAAAAAUAUUAUUCAUCGUAAACACUAAUCCGUUUGCACACAUACCUUCUAUAACCAAUAUACAGUUUGCACCUAAAAAUCUUAUUCAUCAUAAUCAGAAAUCCGCUUGCAUACAUACUAAAAUUUGCGGCCCAUAUUUUUACUUGAGAGAUGUCUAGCUUCAUGUGUUCCUUCUAUAUGAAAUAUACAAUUUGUAUAUCAUAUUUGAACAAACAUUAGAAGGAACACAGAUUUGCUUAAAAAAAGAUACCUAGACAUAUAAUUGCUUAGAUUUUAGUCAUCGAGCUAUUUCAAUACUCUUCUGUUUUAACACCUGCAGACAUGAUUACACAACAACUGAUUCUCAUAUUAUUUUUUCCUCGGUACAUAUGAUCUGUACAAUUCUUGAAACAAUGUUUUCUACUGCAAAAAAUUAGCUGUUCCAUUGAGGAAUGAAUUUAUUAACAAGACACCAAUCAAAUUAGUCAUCAAGCUGUUUCAAUACUCUUCUGUUUUAACACCUGCAGACAUGAUUACACAACAACUGAUUCUCAUAUUAUUUUUUCCUCGGUACAUAUGAUCUGUACAAUUCUUGAAACAAUGUUUUUGUACUACAAAAAGUUAGCUGUUCCAUUGAGGAAUGAAUUUAUUAACAAGACACCAAUCAAAUAUUUUUUUAAAGAUAUAACCCAUUUCUAACUCUUUCAAAAAAAAGUAUGCUCCACCGUUACAGUAACAUAAAACAGCCACCAUUACUCUCCAAAACACCUUUUUAGAUUCAAAAGGUUAGUAUUACAACCUCCUUCCUUAAACACCUCUAACAGCCCGGAGAAAUUACCAAUUAACAGGUAGUAUUUGUUAAUUGUUGCGCUCAUAUUUUAGUGCCUAAUAGAUGCCUGACGAAAUGCCUAGAUGCUAUGAUUUUCUCCCAGAUUCUGAGUUUCUGAAUUUAGGUGCUGCAUUUCUAAAUAUUUGAGUUUGCAUACGUGCUAUGAUUUACUCCCAGAUUCUAGCAAGGUAUGUAACAUCAGCCAUGCAUUCUAAUUCUCCUACCAUGCGCUCUAACUCGCUCCUCUAAUCUACUGCAGGGGUGAUAUUGUUGAAGUAGAUACAUGGAUUAGUGCUAAUGGUAAAAAUGGAAUGCGUAGACAUUGGCAUGUACAUGAUUCUAUAACAGGCCAUACAAUACUGAAGGUGACAAGGUUCAAAUCUACGUCGUGCUCUUAUGUUUAUAUCUUUAAUCAAUUUUAUUAGCAAUUUAAUUCUACCAACUGCCAUGUUAGUGUUACGAUUGACACAACACUUAUAGUUUCUCUGCUAAAAAACAACAAAUCUUCUAGGUGCACCACCGGCACCCUGGAUCAUUAUUGUUAUUUUUUGGUGUCCUCUUGCUCCUAUUAUCCUAUAAUUCAUCUGCUUGAUAAUCUCUUUUUUGUAUAAUGAGGUUUUAUUGGCAUUUUAAGGUUUACCACUGUCUACAACACACAAGUUUGGAUUAUAUCUUGUGUCUCAUAAGCAGUUUGGCAAUAAAAGGAAGUAUCUUCAUAGGAGAACCGCCCCAUUUCCAUACUAUGCAACACCAAUGGACAUGGUUGUUUAAGUAUAUGUUUUUUCUUUUUUCUUCUGCUUAAUAUAUAAUGGGGCGCAGUUCUCCUGCGCGUCUAAAAAAAUAACACAUGGUCUUUUAAACCGGGUUGUCAAUAAUAGUCCUCUGGCGCAAUGUUUUGUAGGGCUUGGAGCAAGGCAAUCAGGAAAAGCUUUCCUUUUGUCAAUAAUAUAUGGAGAUGAAUAUUCUACUCUAGAUAAUAUAUCUAUGAUAAUAAUUUUAUAUGCUUGAGUACCUUGGCAUUCCAUUUUUCAUGAUAUGAUCAAUCAUUUUGUUUUCUUUGUUUCAUGAUUGCGUCCCACCAGAAAAACACCGGCUCAUGUCUAUGCUUCCUCUUCCAGGUGCCUGUGAUGUGUUUUUCCUAGUAGCUUUGGAUUUUGUUAUUUAGGUGACCGAUACUAUCUAUCACUACAAAGUAGAAAUCUUGGAGUUAUACAUUUUAUUAGAGAGAUGAAGACUAUUUAUAUUAGUUUUAGAUGCAUUCGGUACCACCUUGUUUUUCAGUGUCAUGAAUCAUGGCCACAUGAGAGAGAAAUACAGGCACAUCCGCACAUGAAAAAAUGAUACAUGUGUGAGUGGCUAGUUCAUCUAUGAGCAUAACUAAAUUGAACCCUGAUGAUAUUAACCUUAGAUGGUUAUCAAAGGAUGACAUUGGGGAUUUGGACUGUCUUCGCAUUGGUGUUGUUUUUACAUUUUUUCAUCAUGUUAGAAUUUAGUGUUUAGGAGGAUUUAUGGGCGGCGUUUUAUUAACAAAACUGAAAAUCUUGUGUUGCAAGGAUGAACUCCUGAUUUCAGCGCUCUCCAGUAUUUACUGAUUAGGUUAGGACCAGUAGUAUUAUUUCUUGUGUAGUGCAAUACUUCUGACUUUUGGUAGUGUGAGGGCAUGAAAAUAAGGCAAGGGGAAAAAAGACAUAGACACUAGAGGAAUUUGUUUAGAAUUUUUUGGUUGAUUGUUGCUACAUAUGUAGUAUGUUAGUUUCCUACAUCAUUCUGCCAUCUUUGGGUAUUGGCCAGGUUAUGAUAUAACCUUAUUUAUCAGACAGUUAGCCAGUUAAAAGUUGAAGAGUGACAGUUUGACGGACAACAUACUCUUGGUUGUUAUGUGCAGUGGACUCUUGCUACAGACCUGCAAAACCUGGCAAUGGAGUUCAAAAAAAGCAGUCAUCAUGUUUAAAGCAUUUCGCAUACAAAACAAGUUAUCUUAUGUUGUCAUCAGAUAACUAGGUGUUGAUAGAAUGCUUGUCCAACCUUGUAUUGUGUGCUUUGUUGGUGAAUACCUUUGCAGGGUCAGGAUAGUGUUGUUUUGGAAAUGAAUAUAAAUGGUCGGUGUCUACAUUUGGAUACAGUGAGUUUGAGAAUGUGGUAUGUUUUAUUUUGUUCUUGUUGCAUACCUGAUUUUUUUGGUUCUUUUUAUUUCUACAUAUUAGAUAUUAGCAUGAGAAGUUUGUAUAUCUGUAUAGUAACUUAUGUCAGAUCUAAUGUACUAUGAGUCAUUCUUUAUUAGAUAUUGAGAUAUUACCUGCAUGUUAGACAUCAGUGUGUGAGACUUUUAUGUGGCUUUUCCCCUUUCCUUGUACAAAUCCUAUAGUAGGCUUUUAUGUGGCACAAACCUGCAGUAAGAUGCGCCUUAUUCCCUUUUGCUUUGUAAUCUGCUUGUUAUUAAUAUGCCUCGUUGACUACACAGUUCAGCCUAAAUCCCCAACCAUUAUAGAAGAUGUUCUGGACUUCUACGUCUAAAGUUAACUAACGGUCUAGGAUCUGCUUCCAUUUACACUUUUUUACUUCAAGAGAGUAAGUAGUUGCCAGAGCACUUUUUCCACAUAUUUGUGGAUAAUAAGUAGACAUCAAACUAGAUCACCUGGACAACAGAGAAUAAGGUGGCAUAACUUUAGCAAAAAAAUAGCUAAAGUUAUGAUUCUCUUUAUGAAUUUUCAUAGAGAUUGUGAUGUCAAAUAUCUAAGAAGAAACGCAUGGAAAACUUCUAUAUUGAUAGAGUAGUUUCGUUGCAGAAAAAAAUACUAUAUUGAAACGUGUUUGAGGCGAGAGGCAUAUCUUUGCUUCUGAAGUCCUGUUUUCUACCAUAGGUUGGGUUGUACUAAUGUUCAGAAGAUGCAUCCUACUGCAGGUUGGGUUGGGUUCUUUUGGAUGACAUAUAGUGUUGGGUUGUGCAGUUCAAACACUCUUUCAUUUUUCUUAAGUGCUCUUUACUUUUGAUCUUUGUGAUGGGCAUCACGAGGAAUCAUGAUAUACUGAUGUCAAUAUUUUUUAAUCAUUAGUCUAUGCCAACUGCCAACAACCAUUCCUCUAUGUCCACUUGGACUAUUAUUCCAACUAGAUGAUUAACAUAUAGCAACCAACUUGAAGUUCCUUUACUUUAGCUUUUUAUUGUAAGAACUAAGAACACAACCUUACAUGUUGCCCAGGAUGAAAGAAUGGUGUUAAUACAUGUCAAACUAAAAGUUUAAGACUGCAUCCUGGUCUGAUUCUAUAGUGGGACAAUUCUUUUCUUGACUAAUUGCUUUGUGGUUCUAGAUUUUUUUAGUUUGACCUUUCAGGGAUGUGCCUACUGAGAUUGUUGCUGCUCAGGUCUAGCAGGCUCUGCAACUCCUGCAGCUUGCCGAUAUCCGAAGGGAUCAGGCCAGAUAGGUAAUUCUGUGCCAGGUUCAGCUCAUAGAGACUGCUCAAUUUGGGACCGUCGUCGAAAUUAGACCUGAGAUCUGGUUGUAUGUGACAUUCAACACGUUGAGGGACACCAGGCUUCCGAGUUUAGGCGACAUUGUUCCAGUUUUGCUUUCUUCAGUUCAAAUUUUCUAGAUUUUACAGAUUCAUGAAUAGCCCCUUAUUAUUGGUGCAACUAAUAUUCAGUCUGCUAAAAUAUCAAUGGCCCACCUAAUUUCGUAAAAAAGGAUGAGCACUACACGAACCAUUCCUAUACUUUGUGAACUUUGUUUUCAAACAUGCCUUCUAGCUUUACCAUAUUAACAAUAGACAACCAAUUCAGUUGAUGCUUUGACUUCUUCAUUCCGGCGUUAAGUAGUACCCCUGCUCCUCAAGUACAACAUGAGCGAGGUAAUUGCUUUAUCCCUUAGCCUAUUUUAUAGUCAAAUAAUAUACAAUCAGAUGUUUGGAUACCAUAUCUUUGUUAAUUUCUUUUGUUCCAUGUGCCUUGUCAUAUGUACUACAGUUAUGUUCGUAUAUGCACAUUAAGAUCUUCAGUGACUUUUCUAUAUACACACCAUGAACUACGCUAACUUUGAAGCAUUGUAGGUGACUUUUAAUAAUAUUCCCAUUGCCGGUCACAAAACUCAAGUAUUGUCACAGAUCUUUUUAUUAGGGACAUAAAGUAUGUGUAUUUCUGUUAUCACCACAACAUAUAGUUACUGCAUUGAUUUACUCGACACUCUUCAAUACUGCUUUUAUCAUCACGUAUUUUUUUCUUAAAUCUACUACAUUGUAUGCAUGAUACACCAACAUCUUCUUUAGUACCAAACGAAAAACCUAGCUACAAUUAACAUUUUUUAAGUCUCACAGGAAUCUAUUUUGUGUGGCUACAAAGGUUACCCAUGCUGGCAGAAGCAAUCUACUUUCGUGACCUGUGUUGCUGGCUGGUGAAGGUAGCCAGCCCACUGAAGACUGGGUCCACUGAAGACCAUCUUGGUGGCCACGCUCGGCGCUCGGCAGGUCGCUGGAGGAGAACGGAGGCAUGUACCGCGUCGUCUCCAAGGAGUGGGACCAUGAAGAUCGAGAAGAUGACCAUGGCAAGGCUCAGGGACGACGACGCCGUGCGUCGCGACCUUCGCGACAUCUUCAUCUUUUGGUUUUGAAGCACAAGAGAAUUGGAAAUCAACAACUGGUGUCACUGGUUAUUCUUAAGAACCAUUUGCUACCGAAUGUAGUCCAAAGGCUCCUUAACUCACAAACACAUGAGACACAAAAAUAUAGAAAGACCAAAUAUUCUCAUUCAUCUAUUCUGUUCACUGGUUAUAAUAAAUGGUGGUGUCCUCUC
This is a long non-coding RNA of Zea mays, 7179 nucleotides long. RefSeq lists it as uncharacterized. The transcript has 4 exons. The record is from RefSeq and is a predicted model, not a curated record. NCBI's taxonomy places the organism in Eukaryota, Viridiplantae, Streptophyta, Magnoliopsida, Poales, Poaceae.